RNAcentral lists this ribosomal RNA (1177 nucleotides) under Trypanoplasma borreli. Its description in RNAcentral is "partial 12S ribosomal RNA". The stretch from base 835 to 1169 matches the Rfam family "Trypanosomatid mitochondrial large subunit ribosomal RNA", at positions 239 to 535 of the family's 561-position model. The record is from RNAcentral. Lineage: Eukaryota; Euglenozoa; Kinetoplastea; Parabodonida; Parabodonidae.
AUUUAACCUUUAAAAUUUUUAUCUUAAAAUUUUAUAAACUUUACUUCUUAAAAAAUAUAUUUAAAUUUAAAUUUUGGAGUUUUUUUUAAUCACUAAUAUUUUCUAAUUUUAUAUUUUUAUUUUAAAUUUAUAGCAAAAAAAAAAUUAAUUAUUUACAACUUUUAAAAAAUACUGUAUAUAGUUACAAUUAUUACACUUAAAAAUUUAAUUCCUUUUACAUAGCAGCAAAAUGUUUAUCUAUUUUUUAUACUUUUUAAAUUUAAAAAUUAUUUAAAACUAACAACUUAAUUUUAUACUAUUAAAAUAACUUGUAUUAAUUUCAUAUAAAUUUUGAUUUUUUUGCUAUUUUUUAAAAAAAUAAUAUAAUUUUUAAAUGAAUAUUAUUUAUACUUUAUAUAAUUUUAAAUUUUUAUAUUUUAUAUAAUUUAAUUUCCUUAUAACUAUAUAGCUAACAUUUAUUUUACUUAAUAUUUUAUAUAUGUUUUAUUUAAUAAAAGCUAAUUUUAUACUUUUAAACUUUAAUGUCUUUAAAUUUAUUUAAAUUAUACUUUUUUAUUUAUAUACACUUUUUUAUUAAUUUAUUCAUAAAAAUAUUUAAAUCCAAGUUUAUUUAAUGCUUUUCUAUUUGUAAUUUAUAAAUUUUUUUUUGUGUAUAUUAUUUUUAAAAAAAUAUUUCUACUUUAUUUUUAAUAACUACACCUUUAAUUUCUAUAUUUGUAGCUAAAUAAUUUAUUAGCUAAUUACUAACUUGUUCCACUAAUUAAUAUUUAUAUAUAUUAUACUAUUAUACAUUAAAUAACUAAUACGUAUUUAAUAUAAUAUUUAUACAUGUUAAAGGGCAAGUCCUUUUUUACUUUACAUUUAAUUUUAAAAUUUUCAUAUUAUAAAUUAAAAAUUGUAUGUUUGGUUGGGAUAACAUAAUAUCUUAUUAUAUUAUUUAAAAAUAGAUCUUAAUUAUUAGCAAUUAUAUAAGUCUUAAAAAGGUUAACAAGCAUACUUUGUAUAAAUGUGUUUCUUCGUCUACUUAUGUAUUAUUAAUUAUUAAUAUACUUAAAAAAGUUGUUCACUUUUCUAUACAUUCAUUAGUUGGGUUAAAAUCGUUGUAAAGCAGAUUUUUUAAUAUUUACUUAUUUUUCUUCUUACAAACUCCGUACUUAGUACGAGAGGACUAUAUUUU